This is a microRNA precursor of Tupaia belangeri (northern tree shrew), 75 nucleotides long. The record is from Ensembl. NCBI's taxonomy places the organism in Eukaryota, Metazoa, Chordata, Mammalia, Scandentia, Tupaiidae.
CGGCCUGUGCCACUCAAACUGUGGGGGCACUUUUUCCGUCUAAAGAAAGUGCCGCCAUUUUUUGAGUGUUACCGG